Molecule: long non-coding RNA, 969 nt
Organism: Trachemys scripta elegans
Lineage: Eukaryota; Metazoa; Chordata; Testudines; Emydidae
Exons: 3
Source: RefSeq, a predicted model, not a curated record
UGACAGUCACAUACAGCAGGAAAGACAUAGGGUUCGAUGCUCCCCUCUGCUUUUUGCUGGUUGAGGAGAGAUAAAGCUGGCUGAACCACGUGGUGAGGCACAGAGAGGGAGAGCAGUAGCUACACUGCAUGCUUCCCUCUCGCCCUGAGCCCACAGGAGCUACUCUGCAGCCAUACUGCCGUAGUCGGAGCUCUGCAAGUUGGAAGGAGGCAUGCUGCAGAGGACCAUGGAGCCAGGCAAAGCUUCACAUGAUCUCAAAUGUAUCCCUUUGGUAGUAUAAAGCACAAGUCAGGAGAAACCUCACCUCUCACACCUGUGUGGUUGAUUCUCCAUGGAACAGAGAUAAAACUAGAGGACUUCACAAAGCCUGUUUCCCCGACUCUCCAAAAUGUCAAGGAUGAAGUCUGGGCCUCCAGCCUGCUCUCUCUCUCCAGAAACCCUCAGCGAAAGGAUCACAGAUGCCAACCCCUAACAUUGAAAGACAGGUCAACUCCUGCCUGGGUCUGACUCAGCAUGACAAUAAGGAAUAGUUCAGAUUACAGCUGAAGCCAUGCUAACAACAGCAAUAUUUAAAACCAGUUAUUGCCAACUUUAGUAGUAUGGACAAGGCCAAAAUGGGAAUGCCCUUCCAGAGAAUUUGAGAUUUCGGAUGCCAACACUUCUUGCAACAUAUGGGGCGUAUUCAUAAGUACUGCAGUACACAGAGAACUUCUACUGCAUUAGAAGAAGGAAUGUUAAAACAAAGAGUGAUUGAUUAUCUUUCAAUUAUCUCUGCUGUUCCUACAAUCCAUUUGAAAAUAAAGUUCUAUAUCUUAAAUGUAACAAUAUUAGUGAGAGUUUUAUUGUAUCUUUACAUUGAAAAUGUCCAGUACUUACAUUUUACAGAGAAAGAGAUCUGAAAUGUUCACACAGAUCACAUUCUUCCCAUUCCCCACACACUCGGAUGCACACAACACACCUGGGUGAAUG